CUUGGAGGUUGUGCCCUUGAGGCGUGGCUUCCGGAGCUAACGCGUUAAGUCGACCGCCUGGGGAGUACGGCCGCAAGGUUAAAACUCAAAUGAAUUGACGGGGGCCCGCACAAGCGGUGGAGCAUGUGGUUUAAUUCGAUGCAACGCGAAGAACCUUACCUGGUCUUGACAUCCACGGAAGUUUUCAGAGAUGAGAAUGUGCCUUCGGGAACCGUGAGACAGGUGCUGCAUGGCUGUCGUCAGCUCGUGUUGUGAAAUGUUGGGUUAAGUCCCGCAACGAGCGCAACCCUUAUCCUUUGUUGCCAGCGGUCCGGCCGGGAACUCAAAGGAGACUGCCAGUGAUAAACUGGAGGAAGGUGGGGAUGACGUCAAGUCAUCAUGGCCCUUACGACCAGGGCUACACACGUGCUACAAUGGCGCAUACAAAGAGAAGCGACCUCGCGAGAGCAAGCGGACCUCAUAAAGUGCGUCGUAGUCCGGAUUGGAGUCUGCAACUCGACUCCAUGAAGUCGGAAUCGCUAGUAAUCGUGGAUCAGAAUGCCACGGUGAAUACGUUCCCGGGCCUUGUACACACCGCCCGUCACACCAUGGGAGUGGGUUGCAAAAGAAGUAGGUAGCUUAACCUUCGGGAGGGCGCUUACCACUUUGUGAUUCAUGACUGGGGUGAAGUCGUAACAAGGUAACCGUAGGGGAACCUGCGGUUGGAUCACCUCCUUACCUUAAAGAAGC
This 729-nucleotide ribosomal RNA is filed under the name Shigella boydii. Its description in RNAcentral is "bacterial SSU rRNA". It matches the Rfam family "Bacterial small subunit ribosomal RNA", at positions 816 to 1533 of the family's 1533-position model. The record is from RNAcentral. Lineage: Bacteria; Pseudomonadati; Pseudomonadota; Gammaproteobacteria; Enterobacterales; Enterobacteriaceae.